UUUUAAAAGAAAAUCGAAGAGAGUUUAUUUUUCCUUUUGGUGACUCUGUGGUAGAUGAGUAUUUUUGCCAAUUUGCAUGCUGGGUUAUAGGUUUAGCAUGGGCCAUUUCUCUCUUUAAUGUCUUGGUAUUGUUGGUGUCUUGCAAUCUUGAUGCCCCACAGUUUCAAUGUAUUUAUUUUCUUUUAUAUUGUCAAAAUAACACACUAGAGAAAGAACCAGAGUGAGCAUUCUGUAUCCUAAAUUACAAUGGAGUUAGGUGUCAUGUGUAUAGAACUGUAUAAUGAUUAAUAUCUGCAGAGAAAUUAGACCAAAUGAAGCCUGCUAGAAUAGGUUUGAUUUAUAUUGCCUUCAUCAUUCUGGUUUCAGACGAAAUGGUUAUUGCUCUCCACCCCUGCUGAAAGAAUAGUCUUAAACUUUAAUAAUCACAGCCUUGUGAUGCAAACACAGAGCUUAUUUAUUUGAAAUUUCUGAUCUUGCUGUGUACAUAGAAAUGGAGAUUCUUUUUCCAGUGAUCUCCAUUGCAGACUUUUUAGCAGUGUUUCUUAAUACUCAGGAUGCACAAAAAUCAUGCACAGCACUUGUAAAAAUGCAGAUUCCUUCAACCUAACUUCAAAGAGUCUGAUUCAGAAACUUGAAGCAGGGCCAAGAAAUUUGCAUUUUGACCUAGUCUCCUUAAUAAUUUUGAUGAGGAUUGUCUAUAGACCUUUCUUUGAAAAUUCUGCUGUUUAGGGAGUAUGGAGAGGUCAACAGUUCCUUUACUUCUUAGACGCACUUCCUCAUUUUCUCUUACUUUCUUCCCACUACAAACAAGUCAAAGCAUGAAUUAUUUAUUAUCUUAAGAGAAAACACCAAAAGAAAAGCAACCUAAGACUAGGGCAGAAUAGAUUUUCAUUAAUUCUUUGCCAUUUCAUCUGCUGUCUCUCAACCGUAACCCUUUCUCCAUAUAGUGUGUGUAUGUGUAUGUGUAUGUGUGUGUAUGUGUAUGUGAUUUU
Cebus imitator (Panamanian white-faced capuchin) is the source of this 992-nucleotide long non-coding RNA. RefSeq lists it as uncharacterized. The record is from RefSeq and is a predicted model, not a curated record. The transcript is spliced from 3 exons. Lineage: Eukaryota; Metazoa; Chordata; Mammalia; Primates; Cebidae.